This 253-nucleotide ribosomal RNA is filed under the name uncultured bacterium. RNAcentral's name for it is "partial 16S ribosomal RNA". It matches the Rfam family "Bacterial small subunit ribosomal RNA", at positions 524 to 776 of the family's 1533-position model. The record is from RNAcentral.
UACAGAGGUCCCAAGCGUUGUUCGGAUUCACUGGGCGUAAAGGGUGCGUAGGCGGUCGGGUAAGUCUGACGUGGAAUCUUCAAGCUUAACUUGGAAACUGCGUCGGAUACUAUUCGGCUAGAGGAAUGGAGGGGAGACUGGAAUACUUGGUGUAGCAGUGAAAUGCGUAGAUAUCAAGUGGAACACCAGUGGCGAAGGCGAGUCUCUGGACAUUUCCUGACGCUGAGGCACGAAAGCCAGGGGAGCAAACGGG